AAUUUUGGACAAUGUGCGUAAGCCUGAUCCAGCCUGGCCGCGUGAGGGAAUAAGGACUUCGGUCUGUAAAUCUCUUAUGGUAGGACAGAAAUCACGCAGUCCACUACGCUCAGCGGAUGUCAGUACCGACAUACGAACCACCGGACCACUACGCGCCCACAUCCGCGGUAAUACGUACGGUGCUCGCGUUAAUCGGAAUGACUGGGCGUAAAGCGUGCGCAGGCGGUUGAUUAAGACAGGCGUGAAAUCCCCGGGCUUAACCUGGGAACUGCGCUUGUGACUGGUCAGCUAGAGUACGGCAGAGGGGGGUAGAAUUCCACGUGUAGCAGUGAAAUGCGUAGAGAUGUGGAGGAACACCGAUGGCGAAGGCAGCCCCCUGGGCCGAUACUGACGCUCAUGCACGAAAGCGUGGGUAGCAAACAGG
This 424-nucleotide ribosomal RNA is filed under the name uncultured bacterium. Its description in RNAcentral is "partial 16S ribosomal RNA". It matches the Rfam family "Bacterial small subunit ribosomal RNA", at positions 360 to 776 of the family's 1533-position model. The record is from RNAcentral.